UCAUCAGGCUUAUUAACAGUUGGGUUUUUAAUGUGUGUAUUUUUGUGUGUGAAGGGUGACCGUGGAUUACAAGGACCUCCUGGGCCACCAGGGCAGGUUGGCGAAGUGUCAGGCUUACCUGAUACAGUCAUUCAACAAGGAGAAAAGGGUGAUCGCGGCUCACCUGGAGAUCCUGGUUUUCCAGGUCCCCCUGGCCCCCCCGGUCCACAAGGGGGCCAGAAAGGUGAGAAAGGAGAACAUGGGGAGCUUGGAAAGAGGGUGAGUUGAAGCCUAUUGAAACCCCGACUCAGUUCAGCAUUUUAUAACAUUUAUGCUGUGAUAUAUUUAUUUUCAUUAGGGAAAACCUGGCAAAGAUGGUGAACAAGGCCUCCCUGGAUAUCCGGUAAGCUGUCUACAACAGAUGUUUAGUAAAGUUUAUCAAACAGGUGAUAUUCUUUAAUACUGUUGUGACAUCUCUUUUUUAGGGUGAUAAAGGAGAACCAGGUCCUCCUGGUCUGUCGGGGCGAG
This 507-nucleotide long non-coding RNA is filed under the name Sinocyclocheilus anshuiensis. RNAcentral describes it as "lncRNA (ENSSANG00000024861.1)". The record is from RNAcentral. Lineage: Eukaryota; Metazoa; Chordata; Actinopteri; Cypriniformes; Cyprinidae.